This is a long non-coding RNA of Perognathus longimembris pacificus (Pacific pocket mouse), 445 nucleotides long. RefSeq lists it as uncharacterized. The transcript is spliced from 3 exons. Lineage: Eukaryota; Metazoa; Chordata; Mammalia; Rodentia; Heteromyidae. The record is from RefSeq and is a predicted model, not a curated record.
UGCAAUUUGAUGAUACAAUUCUAUAUACAUGGGGAAUCUGGAAUGACAAGAUGACAUUCUGUUAUAGCACCCUGAGGUGACUAAUAAAAUCAUAGGAAGUCAAGAAAAACAAUUCUGUCAUUCAUCAAGAUUCUGUCUGACUACACUGUUUGCUGUUGAGAAAACUCGAAAUUGCCAGCAUGGUUUUCCAUUCUCACUCCAUAUUCAGAGGCUAUUUACCAGGUCGAUAAAAAAAGGCGUGGAAAACAAUGAAGUAUGACCUAGGAAGUUAUGAUGCUUUUUUCUUUUUAAGGAGUGUGAAGGUUCCUAGCUACAUCAUUGUUUAAAUAAAUAACUAAGGAAUAAAGUGGUGAAAUAACCAAAGGUUUAGCAAGAAAGCAAGGGUAGAGCGGUGUGUGUGAGCGGGGAUUCUGUGCUGUUAGUGGGGUGCGGGGUUUCCUCUGUA